RNAcentral lists this ribosomal RNA (291 nucleotides) under uncultured bacterium. RNAcentral describes it as "partial 16S ribosomal RNA". It matches the Rfam family "Bacterial small subunit ribosomal RNA", at positions 773 to 1060 of the family's 1533-position model. The record is from RNAcentral.
GUGGAUUAGAUACCCUGGUAGUCCACGCUGUAAACGAUGAAUACUAGGUGUGGGGGGACUGACCCCCUCCGUGCCGGAGUUAACACAAUAAGUAUUCCACCUGGGGAGUACGGCCGCAAGGUUGAAACUCAAAGGAAUUGACGGGGGCCCGCACAAGCAGUGGAUUAUGUGGUUUAAUUCGAAGCAACGCGAAGAACCUUACCAGGGUUUGACAUCCAACUAACGAAGCAGAGAUGCAUUAGGUGCCCUUCGGGGAAAGUUGAGACAGGUGGUGCAUGGUUGUCGUCUACU